This 348-nucleotide unclassified non-coding RNA is filed under the name Hevea brasiliensis (rubber tree). The record is from RNAcentral. Lineage: Eukaryota; Viridiplantae; Streptophyta; Magnoliopsida; Malpighiales; Euphorbiaceae.
AAUUCAACCUCAAUAAGCUGCUCUAAUGCUGUAUCUAUGGAUCUCCUGAUUUGCGAGAGUGAUGCAAACACAUCCAUGAUUUCCGUAUUGAACAAAAUCACCGAUCUGAUGACCUCUGGUAGAACAACUUCAACCAUUUGGCUAACCAAAUUUUUACAGGAAAGCAAACAGGUUUUAAAAAUUGAAGUCCAAUUACUAUCAAAUAAUGAUUCAGACGUGUCAACAACUGUAUCAAUACUCCUAUAAUCCAUGCGGACAUACUGCUGAAGCUCAUUCAGAAACUUUGCUACUAGCAUGCAUUUUUCUACUUGCUCCUCAAAUUCAGAGAAAGAAGUUCCAAGAUCAGAG